AACGUAGGUGGCGAGCGUUAUCCGGAUUUAUUGGGCGUAAAGAGGGCGCAGGCGGUUUUGCAAGUCGGAUGUAAAAUCUCCCAGCUUAACUGGGAGGGAUCACCCGAUACUGUUAAACUAGAGUGCAACAAGGGGAGGUAGAAUUCCCGGUGUAGUGGUGAAAUGCGUAGAUAUCGGGAGGAAUACCAGUGGCGAAGGCGGCCUCCUGGGUUGUCACUGACGCUUAAGCCCGAAGGCGUGGGGAGCAAACAGGAUUAGAUACCCUCGUA
Molecule: ribosomal RNA, 269 nt
Filed under: uncultured prokaryote
Description: partial 16S ribosomal RNA
Rfam family: Bacterial small subunit ribosomal RNA
Source: RNAcentral